AGAGUUUGAUCCUGGCUCAGGAUGAACGCUGGCGGCGUGCCUAACACAUGCAAGUCGAGCGAAGCAGGUUUCAUGAAGUUUUCGGAUGGAUUGAGACUUGACUGAGCGGCGGACGGGUGAGUAACGCGUGGGUAACCUGCCUUAUACAGGGGGAUAACAGUUAGAAAUGACCGCUAAUACCGCAUAAGCGCACGGCUCCGCAUGGAGCAGUGUGAAAAACUGAGGUGGUAUAAGAUGGACCUGCGUCUGAUUAGGUAGUUGGUGAGGUAACGGCCCACCAAGCCGACGAUCAGUAGCCGACCUGAGAGGGUGACCGGCCACAUUGGGACUGAGACACGGCCCAAACUCCUACGGGAGGCAGCAGUGGGGAAUAUUGCACAAUGGGCGAAAGCCUGAUGCAGCGACGCCGCGUGAGUGAAGAAGUAUUUCGGUAUGUAAAGCUCUAUCAGCAGGGAAGAGAAUGACGGUACCUGACUAAGAAGCCCCGGCUAACUACGUGCCAGCAGCCGCGGUAAUACGUAGGGGGCAAGCGUUAUCCGGAUUUACUGGGUGUAAAGGGAGCGUAGACGGUCUGCCAAGUCUGAAGUGAAAGCCCGGGGCUCAACCCCGGUACUGCUUUGGAAACUGAUGGACUGGAGUGCUGGAGAGGUAAGCGGAAUUCCUAGUGUAGCGGUGAAAUGCGUAGAUAUUAGGAGGAACACCAGUGGCGAAGGCGGCUUACUGGACGGUAACUGACGUUGAGGCUCGAAAGCGUGGGGAGCAAACAGGAUUAGAUACCCUGGUAGUCCACGCCGUAAACGAUG
Molecule: ribosomal RNA, 803 nt
Filed under: uncultured bacterium
Lineage: Bacteria
Description: bacterial SSU rRNA
Rfam family: Bacterial small subunit ribosomal RNA
Source: RNAcentral